This 336-nucleotide unclassified non-coding RNA is filed under the name soil metagenome. Its description in RNAcentral is "partial contains 5.8S ribosomal RNA, internal transcribed spacer 2, and large subunit ribosomal RNA". The stretch from base 5 to 119 matches the Rfam family "5.8S ribosomal RNA", at positions 40 to 154 of the family's 154-position model. The record is from RNAcentral.
GAUGAGAACGUAGCGAAAUGCGAUAAGUAGUGUGAAUUGCAGAAUUCAGUGAAUCAUCGAAUCUUUGAACGCACAUUGCGCCCCUUGGUAUUCCAUGGGGCAUGCCUGUUCGAGCGUCAUUUGUACCUUCAAGCUUUGCUUGGUGUUGGGUGUUUGUCUCGCCUCCGCGUGUAGACUCGCCUCAAAACAAUUGGCAGCCGGCGUAUUGAUUUCGGAGCGCAGUACAUCUCGCGCUUUGCACUCACAACGACGACGUCCAAAAGUACAUUUUUACACUCUUGACCUCGGAUCAGGUAGGGAUACCCGCUGAACUUAAGCAUAUCAAUAAGCGGAGGA